This 74-nucleotide unclassified non-coding RNA is filed under the name Arabidopsis thaliana (thale cress). Its description in RNAcentral is "small nucleolar RNA R57". The record is from RNAcentral. Lineage: Eukaryota; Viridiplantae; Streptophyta; Magnoliopsida; Brassicales; Brassicaceae.
UUCUGUGAUGAAUUUUUUAGUCUUAAUGGAAUUUCCCUAGAUCUGAUCUGUGGGAUCUGUUUCACAACUGAGAA